GCGCUUGUGGCGGAAUUGGCAGACGCGCUAGACUUAGGAUCUAGUUCUUUACAGAGUGGGAGUUCGACUCUCUUCAGGCGCACCA
Molecule: transfer RNA, 85 nt
Filed under: Ureaplasma sp.
Lineage: Bacteria; Bacillati; Mycoplasmatota; Mycoplasmoidales; Mycoplasmoidaceae
Description: tRNA-Leu
Rfam family: tRNA
About the family: Transfer RNA (tRNA) molecules are approximately 80 nucleotides in length. Their secondary structure includes four short double-helical elements and three loops (D, anti-codon, and T loops).
Source: RNAcentral